AUUUGUUCGCGGCCCAGAGACGACCUAACUGAUCUCAAACUCUAAUCUUUCGUGGUGAACGCGUCUAUGUUCUUCGUUUAUCUCCGAUCGGCAGCGUCGGUGGCGAUGCAGUUUCAUUGUCAUAUUCAUCUCGAUAUUUAUCUAUCGUUGGUCAUAUUCCGUCGGCGACGCAGUCAAGAAACGUAGGUCGUUACCACUCUUCCUGCGACGGCGACCGAUGGCGUUUGAGCUACUUUUGACCAUCUGAAAUGGCCUGAGUAAAGGCUCUGUGUUUAGCCUCAUUGAUUCAUUCCCCCACUAUGUCGUCUUCAAUGCGUAUAUCGAUCUGAAAGACGGUGGUUCCAAUAUUAGUGUUCUGAUACGAAGCUGGAGAAACGCAGGAGACCAAUGCUCUAAAACUGGUGUUUUGUCUGAUGAAUUCAGGUCUUCUGAUCAUGUCUAUUUUUCUUUUUGUUAACUCAAUUGCCUGUUCUGAUUAACUUAAAUGUUUCAGUUAUUCAAAAUGUUUUAUACUCUCCAAACUCGGAUGACUGGUGUUUUUAAACGUUCUGAAACCAACAAUGGAUUCUCGACACAUUGUGUGUCUAAACUCCAUCAACCACGAUCUGACAGUUAUGAUGAAGGAUUCAUCUUCAUCUUAUGAUCAGAAGGAUAAAAUUCUUGACGAUAAGAUUCAAGGAGAAGAAGCUUCAGAACCUUGCCCUACUGGAAAGAGAAGAAAAGAAACUGAAAGAUCAAGAUCUGCUCUUCCACCAAAACCAAGGAAAUUAGUUGCACAUAAGCUUAAGUUACAGUAGAAGGGAAGGCGUUAUCGGAAGCUCAAGGGCUUUUCUUUAUAGAGACAUCGGCUCUGGACUCAUCAAACGUGGCAGCUGCGUUCGAGACGGUUGCGAAGGAGAUUUACAACAUAAUGAGCAGGAAAGUGAUGAGCUCACAGAACAUAAGCAAGCAAGAUCCUGCCUCGUUCAGCAAUGGCAAGAAAGUUGUGAUUCCAUCUGAGGCACAGGGCGAGUCCAAGAAUGGAGGGUGUUGUUCUACGUAAUUAGAAACUGUUUGAUUUUUUCUUUGUCCAUCCUGCUGCUGCCAUGAAUGUUGAAAUCUGAGCUGCUUUGUGUUGUGGUGUGGAAGUGUUUAGGUGUAGCAAUCUGUAAAUUUUCCAUUGCAGAAGCUUUAUGUACAUUUUCCAUUGCAGGUUGUUUGUUACUUAAUGAAACUUCAGGGACACACACAUAUUUCAAUAAAGAGACUAAUGUAGGAGAGGUCCUCUUUUACAAGUUGGUUUUCACAGACAUGGACUUCUAUCAGCAGCUCCACUUCUGAAAAAGGAAAUGUCAAGGUUGAGAGCUUGAUUUAGUGCUGUGUCAUCAAAUUUACUUUAGCAUCAAUGUUGGUUUUUAAUAUUAAGGAUGUGGUGUUUGCAUCUGUUUUUUUUAAGCUUUCUUAACCAUCUGCAUUUUCUGAAUUUUUUUGUAAAAUUCUGUUUGGUUUUACGGUUUGUACGAUUUGUUUAAGUUAA
Long non-coding RNA from Raphanus sativus (radish), 1516 nucleotides. RefSeq lists it as uncharacterized. The transcript has 5 exons. NCBI's taxonomy places the organism in Eukaryota, Viridiplantae, Streptophyta, Magnoliopsida, Brassicales, Brassicaceae. The record is from RefSeq and is a predicted model, not a curated record.